RNAcentral lists this long non-coding RNA (1941 nucleotides) under Phascolarctos cinereus (koala). Its description in RNAcentral is "lncRNA (ENSPCIG00000034076.1)". Lineage: Eukaryota; Metazoa; Chordata; Mammalia; Diprotodontia; Phascolarctidae. The record is from RNAcentral.
AUGAGAAAUACCAAGUGGAAUGGGAACGAGAAGGACAGUUGGGAUGGUACCAGUAGAGACAGUUGGGGAAAAAGGACCUCAGGAAGGGUCAGUUGGGAUGAAGAGAGCCUCAAAAAGGCAUUUUGGGAGACGAACAGAGGGUCACUUACGGCAAAUCAGGGUGGAAGAAAGAUGCUAUUAAAAAAUAAUUUGGAUGGGGAUAUGUGGAGCAAAGAUAAAGGGCUUAAGGAGGAUUUUUUCUUCUGGAAAAAUGGGCUGAGGAGGGACAGUUUGGAAAUUGCAAUGAGACAGUUGAGUAGUAUAGCUCACAUGGACAUGAACGGGGAACUCAGGGCUGAUAGUCAGGAUAGAGAUAGGGAAUUGGGGAGGCGCAUUUUGGAUAGGAAGGUGCUGUCGAGAAAUAUGUGGAAAAGACAGAUGUGUUCAGGGAAGGACGGUUCAGAAAGGGACUUUGGGCUGGGGAGGGACACUCAGGAAAGGGGGAGGAGACUGAAAAAGGAAAAAUGGGACAAGGACAGAGGAUGGAGUAGGGACACUCUCAAGAGAAGAAGGCUCAAAAGGGACAGUUGGGACAGGGGAAGAGCAGCAAAAGGCAGUUAUGACAAUUACAGAAGAAAGAGGAAAAACAGUUGGGAAAAGAAGGGGUAUCUGGGGAAAGACAAUUGGGAUGGGAAGAUGAGGAAGAACAGUUGGGAUAGAAGGAAGACACUAAGGAAAGAUAACUGGGAUUUGGGAAGGCUUCCCAUGGAUAACUGGGAAAGAGGUAGGAGGCUAAAGAGGGACAACUUCAACACAAUGAGGGGAUUAGAAGACAGUUGGGACAGAAGAAGGAGACCAAAGAGGAAUAGUUUAAACAGGAGGAGGUAUCUGACAAAGGAGACAAUGGAUGAAGCAACAGGGCUAAGGAUGGACCCUCGGGACAGGGGGAGAAGACUGAAGAGGGAUAAUUUAGCUAGGAGGAAGUACCUGUCAAGGGGGAGUUGGGAUGGGGUGACAGGGCUAAGGAAGGACUCUUGGGACAGGGGGAGGAGACCGAAGAGGGAUAAUUUAGACAGGAGGAGGUACCUGUCAAGGGGGAGUUGGGAUGGGGUAACAGGGCUAAGGAAGGACCCUUGGGACAGGGGGAAGAGACUGAAGAGGAAUAAUUCAGACAGGAGGAGGUACCUAUCAAGGGAAGGUUGGGAUGGGGUGACAGGACUAAGGAAGGAUCUGAAAAAGGUAAGACAGAAAAGGAAUGACAUUUUGGGUAAAGGUACAAGAAUGGGGAGAGAGACUUUGGAAAAGGAGAGAGGGCUUGGGAGGGAAAAUUGGGACAAGGGGAGGUAUCUGAGGAAGGAUAACUGGGAAAGUAACAGGAGCCCCGAGGACAACUGGGACACGGGGAGAAUGCUAAAGAGGGACAAUUUGGACGGGAAAGGUUAUAGUGACAGUAACAAUUCAGAAAGGCUGGGUAAAGUGACACAGCUUCGGAGGAACAAAUUGGGCAGGGUGUGGGAGCUGGAAGGGGGCAGCUGGAUCUGUGACUUGAGCCAGAGUACCCAAUCCUGGAAGCCCUGCAAGAGUUAUCUGGACAGACAGUACGGGGAAAGAGACAACUGGGAAAGAAUGAGGAGGAUGCCAAAUGACGUUUGGGACGAGGAUGAAUGGCUGGAGAGGGACCCGGGGCUAAGAAGAGGCAAUUAUGUCCCGGUCGCAGACAGGGAAGGUUGGAAGAUGCUGAAGAUGAGGCAUCAGGUUAGGGCGAGGAAGCUGAAGGAGGACAGUCGGGACAGGGACUCUGGGAGGAACACCGAGGACAAGGGGUCAGACGUGACGAAACCAUCUCCCCAUGGGGGCCUUUCCAGUGGGGCAAACAGGGUGGUGGAGAGGCCUUCGUCUGGGGAGAGCCACAGGGAUCAGGGGGAGCUGUCUGAGCGCAGCCAGGUGGCAACAGAGGAAUGA